UUAAGUCAUACACUGACAGCUGCAGUGAAGUUUUAUUUUUACCAAUAUCAAUCUAAUUUCUUCACAUUGUCUGCAGCAUUGUUCCAUUAAAGAAUGACUAUGUGGAAAUGCAAGUUAAUGAGGUUAAAUGUUUCUUUUUUCAGCUGAGAUGUUAAGAUGUUGAUUCUGCCUAGUAUCAAAAGAAUAGAUGAAUCGGGCGAAUCAGUCUAAGGCUAUUUCUGGAUGUACGAUGUGUUUCAUGUAUUAUUGGAUUACUAACUGGGUGAUAAUUUUUAAUGUCCUCCAUUAUUUAUGCUAGACUUGAUUUGUAGGGUAUUAUCCACAUGCCAACACCUGAAAGAAAGUUGUUGUUCACUGUAUUGCACUGUCUAUAUAUAGCAUCAGCCAGUUGAACAGUAGAGACAAAAAACUGGUCAAGGACACUCUUGAAUUUAUGCAGGCCAUUUAUAUAUUCAUUUAUGGGAGGCCAAUGUGGGUCUACCAUGAGUUCUAGCAACAAUCGGUCAUGUUGGGUCCCAUAGAUCAGCAAGACUUCUAUAUUCGGAUAUCAGCUUUGGACAUGUUAGGCAAAAUAUUGCAAGGAAUACAUAUAGAAUUAGGUAGAACAUUAUAAUUUGACGCAAGGUUGUAAAUUAUCUAUUAUUUAAACAAUUAAUAUGUAUUGGAUGCUAUUCCAGUAAUUAAUAUUG
Molecule: long non-coding RNA, 689 nt
Organism: Lolium rigidum
Lineage: Eukaryota; Viridiplantae; Streptophyta; Magnoliopsida; Poales; Poaceae
Exons: 3
Source: RefSeq, a predicted model, not a curated record